RNAcentral lists this ribosomal RNA (247 nucleotides) under uncultured bacterium. Its description in RNAcentral is "partial 16S ribosomal RNA". It matches the Rfam family "Bacterial small subunit ribosomal RNA", at positions 524 to 776 of the family's 1533-position model. The record is from RNAcentral.
UACGGAGGGUGCGAGCGUUGUCCGGAAUCACUGGGCGUAAAGGGCGCGUAGGUGGCGCGAGUAGUCAACGGUGAAAGCCCGGGGCUCAACCCCGGGUCGGCCGUCGAUACUCUCGUGCUUGAGCACUGUAGAGGCAGGUGGAAUUCCGGGUGUAGCGGUGGAAUGCGUAGAGAUCCGGAAGAACACCGGUGGCGAGUCUCUGGACAUUUCCUGACGCUGAGGCACGAAAGCCAGGGGAGCAAACGGG